CUGGAAGGCAAGCGAGGAGGUAGCAGUAGGCACAGGGGAACCACUUCCCUAACCCCAGGACUCUCAGGUCUGCACGGUUUGGGACACAGAAGGAAGCCGCCGGCAGCAUCUUUUGCUGCUGAAAUGCAGAUGGUUUGGACACUUCAUAAAGAGGGCAUUAAUAAGCCCGCCGAGUGAGCGCCAGGGCGGGAUUCUCCCACAAAUUCAAGGAUGCAGACACACACAGAGAGAAGAACGUGUAAGAUGUCCAUCUGCAAGACAAGGAGAGAGGCUUCAGGAGAAAGCAACCCUGCUCACACUUUGAUCACAGACUUGUGGCCUCCAGAAUGAGACCGUGAAUCCCCUGAUUGCUGACUCCCUGGUCCCAGCACUGUGCUGAUGAAUUCCUGAUGUCCACGGAGCUACUACAAGAUCUGAGAUUUAUAGCUCUGAAACUUCAGAAGAUAAUCGAGAUGAUACCUUUGGAUAAAGAACCUGAAUGUAUCAACUAGACUGUUUGAAAAGACACAUUUUAAUAAAUAACCUGAAUAUAUAAGCCAGAUUGUUUCAAGGGCUGUAGAAGAAACAUUUUAAAUCCUUUCUCUGAAAAAACUAUUAAAAACACAGAAAACGGGAUACUAAUAGAAACAAUCCAGAAAGGCUUAGCAGGACAACUCAGCAAAACAACACAUCAAUGACCACUUUUAACAGUCUGUGGAAGUCUUUUGCCAGUAAGGGAAGCCAUGGAGUUGUCCUUGAUGCUUUUGUUUUUAGUCCUGUAACCUAGUCAUUAAAACCUCCCAUGGAACUUUUGCUUGGUGGCAUCUUGGAUUGGGAGAAGACAACGGUCUUCUUGUCUGUCACCUACACAUGUCAACGGUUGAGAGCUAUAAAUCAGUACAUCCAAAAAAAUUGCUCUUUCCUUGAUGUAAUCCCAAACGUAUCCAACAUACAAAUGAAAUUAGCUUCCUAUAAUUUAGUUGUCUUGUUCACAUACCUCAAGAUAAGCUUCUUCCAAGACGCCAUUCCCAAAGAAUAAAAAUUAGAAGAUCAAGA
This 1035-nucleotide long non-coding RNA is filed under the name Homo sapiens (human). RNAcentral describes it as "HSALNT0265520". The record is from RNAcentral. Lineage: Eukaryota; Metazoa; Chordata; Mammalia; Primates; Hominidae.